GACGAACGCUGGCGGCGUGCCUAAUACAUGCAAGUCGAGCGGACGAGUCGAAAGCUUGCUUUUGAUUCGUUAGCGGCGGACGGGUGAGUAACACGUGGGCAACCUGCCCUGUAGACGGGGAUAACACCGAGAAAUCGGUGCUAAUACCGGAUAACACGAAAUGUCGCAUGACGUUUCGUUGAAAGACGGCGCAAGCUGUCGCUACAGGAUGGGCCCGCGGCGCAUUAGCUAGUUGGUGAGGUAACGGCUCACCAAGGCGACGAUGCGUAGCCGACCUGAGAGGGUGAUCGGCCACACUGGGACUGAGACACGGCCCAGACUCCUACGGGAGGCAGCAGUAGGGAAUCUUCCGCAAUGGACGAAAGUCUGACGGAGCAACGCCGCGUGAGCGAAGAAGGCCUUCGGGUCGUAAAGCUCUGUUGUUAGGGAAGAACAAGUAACGCAGUAACUGGCGUUACCGUGACGGUACCUAACGAGAAAGCCACGGCUAACUACGUG
This 498-nucleotide ribosomal RNA is filed under the name uncultured bacterium. RNAcentral describes it as "partial 16S ribosomal RNA". It matches the Rfam family "Bacterial small subunit ribosomal RNA", at positions 28 to 507 of the family's 1533-position model. The record is from RNAcentral.